Molecule: long non-coding RNA, 2476 nt
Filed under: Malurus cyaneus samueli
Lineage: Eukaryota; Metazoa; Chordata; Aves; Passeriformes; Maluridae
Description: lncRNA (ENSMCSG00000009344.1)
Source: RNAcentral
ACACCAGAAAUUGUAAAUUCUCAAUGAUUUUUCCCCCUUUAAAGCAGGUCUUACACCUAUGACAGUUACUACAGCAGGAGUCGGAGCAGGAGCAAGAGGAGCGACAGCUACCGGAGAUCUCGGAGCUAUGACCGGAGAUCCAGGUCCUACGGCUCGGACAGCGACAGCGAUCGCAGCUACUCCAACAACAGGAGCCCCAGUGAGAGCAGCAGAUACAGCUGAGAACGUCCCUUUGAGGAUGGAAACUAUUCCAGAAGUUUUUCAGUGUUAUAUAAAAAAAACUGUUUUGACAGUGUCACAAGUGAAGGUUGUUUGCUGAAUUAGCUGAAACUUUCUCGUUUAACAGUGAACUCAAAUCUCUGCUUACAGAGAGAAGGACUAAGCUCGACAGCUGAUGUUAUUUUUUAUUUUUUUUAAUGUCAAAUGCAACUUUUACAAAAUAAUAAUAAUAAAAAAACCCAGUUUGAUUUCCUUGAAUCAGCUUUUCCAAGCCAUGAAUGACACUUAGGUGAAUUGCUGCCACCACUUUUUGAGUGCAGCAGUCAGGACUGUCUUCAAGUCUGUUUAUAAACACCUUAGGAAAUAUGUGCUAGCAACUAUUAAACUGUGAAGUCAAUUUCUUAUAAACGCUGCCAUUUCUAGUUGAUGAAAAUGCUUUUUUUAUUGCUGGAAGCUGUUUCCAUUGCUGGAAGCUGUCUUGAUUGUUGAUUAUUGCAUUCUACACAGGAUAUAGGUGAGGAAAACAAAGCCUGCCACUCUGUCUUAAUCCCUCCUGAGCUGUGAUGUUCUAGAAUUCUGCUGGAAAAGGUGAGAUGAUGCACAGUGGGAAUUGUCAAAGUGACAAGCAGUGAGCAGAAGUGUGAUGAAUGAGUUUGGAGCUUAAUAUCCAACUUGUCUCAACUUUUUAUGUUUAAAACAGGAAUUUUGUGACGAACAGCAAUGUCCUUCAGAGACUAAAAAAGCGUUUCUAAACACUUCCUGACUUUCAUUUCAGUUCCUAUUACAGUGCUUGGCAUCCUCCAACACAUUUUGAACGUUGUAAAACAUGAGUGUAUCAUGAGUUUGUCUAAAGCACUUUUUGAAAAACUGACAUGAUCAUUUUUUGAGAAAACCAACCAUAAACGUUCCUUUAUAAAACCUUUGUAGCUGUAUCCCAUUCACUGUAGGGAGUAUCAGAUACUGAUAUUGCAGAUAUUGAACUUUAUCUUGUUGAAGUAGGACUAAAAAAAUAUUGGGAUGCCUCAUAAAAAGCAUGGAUAAUACUUGCAAAGUAAAAUUUAAUACCAAAACCAACUCUAUGUUACAGGUAAAUGGUUUGCAAAAAAAAAAUAAAUAGAUUCAAGCUGAAGACCAUUGAGUAAUUUUUGCAAUUCUGAUUGAGUUGAUUAAAAAUAAUUUGUGAAGUUGUUCCUUUUUUUUGGGGGGGGGGUUGUUUUAGAAAGUUGUGUACUGAGAACCAGAAUUUUUAAUGGCAAAAUGUAACCUGAAACUUGAGGUCUGUGACCAAACAGACGAAUGUGGUUUGAUUAGAGCUAACAAGCACUGUUGUACCAUAACAGUUCCCAUUACUGACUCUCUGUAAUACCUGGACAUGCUUUCAUUUUCUCAUUUUCAAAUAUUGGAAAUUACUUUUCUCAAUCUCAUCAGGACCCAGUAGCUUUGAAUGAAAAGUGGUAAUUUCUCGCUUAGGCAUCAAUUCUCUUUGAUUGAAUUAAGCUCUCCCGAAUUAGAUGAUUUUUUUGGUACACUGGUGAAACAUGAAAAGCGAGUUCAAAGGGAGGUUUGUAGAUGGUGCUGAUUCCUUCCAUUUCUGUCCACCCACAGCAUGUUCCUGAAACUGAAUUGGCCAUGGAGGUUUUUCACUUUUGUAGAAAUACCCAAAACUCUGCUCAUAGAGUUUAGUGACAAAGUGUGUGCACACAACCUUUCCACCCUUUUGUAAACUUCUUAUGCUUUUUAGUAUUUAAUACAUUUAGUUCUCAAAUCAGAAUAUAUUUACAGACAUGUAUCUAACAGAAGCAGCCCAUUUCAGAGUUCUGAACUAAUAUUUCAGUGACAUUUGUUGUAGUUCUAUCAUUUUCAGUAAAAAUAACUUGGUUUUUUCCCUUACUAAGAAAAUAGAACUAGAAGGUUCAUGGUGUAACAAAAUAUUCAAAUAUAACCAUUAGUAUUCAAUACCUAUUAGUGAAAAUUUUGCUCCAGAAUCAGAUUUUUGUCAUAUUUCAGAUCUGAUUUGACUUUUUAAGGCCAGGAAAAGGUAAUAGAAAUAAGGUCAAUUAACUGUAGUUAUCAAGCAUUACUGCACUGUCAUUAAAGUCUUUCAUAUCUUUAGUCAAAGCUUUAUAAAGAUAUUCCAUCAGGUAGAGAACGGUUGGGGAGGGAUUGAGGGAAGAGUUGGGGGUAUUUUUACUUGGUGAAGACUGUUAAAUUGUGCUUCAGAUAGAAAAUGUCCCCCUGAGCUGGUUUUCUAAUGCUG